RNAcentral lists this ribosomal RNA (850 nucleotides) under Bacillus subtilis. Its description in RNAcentral is "bacterial SSU rRNA". It matches the Rfam family "Bacterial small subunit ribosomal RNA", at positions 56 to 887 of the family's 1533-position model. The record is from RNAcentral. Lineage: Bacteria; Bacillati; Bacillota; Bacilli; Caryophanales; Bacillaceae.
UGCAAGUCGAGCGGACAGAUGGGAGCUUGCUCCCUGAUGUUAGCGGCGGACGGGUGAGUAACACGUGGGUAACCUGCCUGUAAGACUGGGAUAACUCCGGGAAACCGGGGCUAAUACCGGAUGGUUGUUUGAACCGCAUGGUUCAAACAUAAAAGGUGGCUUCGGCUACCACUUACAGAUGGACCCGCGGCGCAUUAGCUAGUUGGUGAGGUAACGGCUCACCAAGGCAACGAUGCGUAGCCGACCUGAGAGGGUGAUCGGCCACACUGGGACUGAGACACGGCCCAGACUCCUACGGGAGGCAGCAGUAGGGAAUCUUCCGCAAUGGACGAAAGUCUGACGGAGCAACGCCGCGUGAGUGAUGAAGGUUUUCGGAUCGUAAAGCUCUGUUGUUAGGGAAGAACAAGUACCGUUCGAAUAGGGCGGUACCUUGACGGUACCUAACCAGAAAGCCACGGCUAACUACGUGCCAGCAGCCGCGGUAAUACGUAGGUGGCAAGCGUUGUCCGGAAUUAUUGGGCGUAAAGGGCUCGCAGGCGGUUUCUUAAGUCUGAUGUGAAAGCCCCCGGCUCAACCGGGGAGGGUCAUUGGAAACUGGGGAACUUGAGUGCAGAAGAGGAGAGUGGAAUUCCACGUGUAGCGGUGAAAUGCGUAGAGAUGUGGAGGAACACCAGUGGCGAAGGCGACUCUCUGGUCUGUAACUGACGCUGAGGAGCGAAAGCGUGGGGAGCGAACAGGAUUAGAUACCCUGGUAGUCCACGCCGUAAACGAUGAGUGCUAAGUGUUAGGGGGUUUCCGCCCCUUAGUGCUGCAGCUAACGCAUUAAGCACUCCGCCUGGGGAGUACGGUC